GACGAACGCUGGUGGCGUGCUUAACACAUGCAAGUCGAACGGAAAGACCCUGCUUUUGUGGGGUGCUCGAGUGGCGAACGGGUGAGUAACACGUGAGUAACCUGCCCUUGACUUUGGGAUAACUUCAGGAAACUGGGGCUAAUACCGGAUAGGAGCUCCUGCUGCAUGGUGGGGGUUGGAAAGUUUCGGCGGUUGGGGAUGGACUCGCGGCUUAUCAGCUUGUUGGUGGGGUAGUGGCUUACCAAGGCUUUGACGGGUAGCCGGCCUGAGAGGGUGACCGGCCACAUUGGGACUGAGAUACGGCCCAGACUCCUACGGGAGGCAGCAGUGGGGAAUAUUGCACAAUGGGCGGAAGCCUGAUGCAGCAACGCCGCGUGCGGGAUGACGGCCUUCGGGUUGUAAACCGCUUUCGCCUGUGACGAAGCGUGAGUGACGGUAAUGGGUAAAGAAGCACCGGCUAACUACGUG
This 468-nucleotide ribosomal RNA is filed under the name uncultured bacterium. RNAcentral's name for it is "partial 16S ribosomal RNA". It matches the Rfam family "Bacterial small subunit ribosomal RNA", at positions 28 to 507 of the family's 1533-position model. The record is from RNAcentral.